Molecule: ribosomal RNA, 618 nt
Filed under: Drosophila adunca
Lineage: Eukaryota; Metazoa; Arthropoda; Insecta; Diptera; Drosophilidae
Description: partial 16S ribosomal RNA
Rfam family: Bacterial large subunit ribosomal RNA
Source: RNAcentral
UAAAGUCUAACCUGCCCACUGAAAAUUUUAAAUGGCCGCAGUAUUCUAACUGUGCAAAGGUAGCAUAAUCAUUAGUCUUUUAAUUGAAGGCUGGAAUGAAUGGUUGGACGAAAUAUUAACUGUUUCAUUUAAAUUUUUUAUAGAAUUUUAUUUUUUAGUCAAAAAGCUAAAAUAAAUUUAAAAGACGAGAAGACCCUAUAAAUCUUUAUAUUUUGUUUAUUUUAAUUAUAAAGAUUAUUUUUAUUAUAAUAAAUUAAAAUAUUUUAUUGGGGUGAUAUUAAAAUUUAAAAAACUUUUAAUUUUUAAAACCAUUAAUUUAUGAAUUAUUGAUCCAUUAAUAAUGAUUAAAAAUUUAAGUUACUUUAGGGAUAACAGCGUAAUUUUUUUGGAGAGUUCAUAUCGAUAAAAAAGAUUGCGACCUCGAUGUUGGAUUAAGAUAUAAUUUUGGGUGUAGCCGUUCAAAUUUUAAGUCUGUUCGACUUUUAAAUUCUUACAUGAUCUGAGUUCAAACCGGCGUAAGCCAGGUUGGUUUCUAUCUUUAAAAAAUUAAAAUAUUUUAGUACGAAAGGACCAAAUAUUUAAAUAAUUAUAUUUUUAAUAAGAAUAUUAUUAAUUUAA